AUUGAACGCUGGCGGCAUGCCUUACACAUGCAAGUCGAACGGUAACAGGUCUUCGGAUGCUGACGAGUGGCGAACGGGUGAGUAAUACAUCGGAACGUGCCUAGUAGUGGGGGAUAACUACUCGAAAGAGUGGCUAAUACCGCAUGAGAUCUACGGAUGAAAGCAGGGGAUCGCAAGACCUUGUGCUACUAGAGCGGCCGAUGGCAGAUUAGGGAGUUGGUGGGAUAAAAGCUUACCAGGCCGACGAUCUGUAGCUGGUCUGAGAGGACGAUCAGCCACACGGGGACUGAGACCAGGCCCAGACUCCUACGGGAGGCCGCAGUGGGGAAUUUUGGACAAGGGGCGAAAGCCUGAUCCAGCAAUGCCGCGUGCAGGAUGAAGGCCUUCGGGUUGUAAACUGCUUUUGUACGGAACGAAAAGCCCCGGGUUAAUACCCUGGGGUCAUGACGGUACCGUAAGAAUAAGCACCGGCUAACUACGUGCCAGCCGCCGCCGUAA
This 498-nucleotide ribosomal RNA is filed under the name uncultured bacterium. Its description in RNAcentral is "partial 16S ribosomal RNA". It matches the Rfam family "Bacterial small subunit ribosomal RNA", at positions 30 to 523 of the family's 1533-position model. The record is from RNAcentral.